GAUGAACGCUGGCGGCGUGCCUCAAACAUGCAAGUCGAGCGGGGCUAUGUAAUAUCGCAAGGUAGAACAUAGCCUAGCGGCGAACGGGUGAGUAACACGUGGGUAACCUGCCUGGAAGACAGGGAUAACGAUUCGAAAGGGUCGCUAAUACCUGAUAAUAUCCUUUCAUCGCAUGGUGAUAGGAAGAAAGGGGAAACCCGCCUUCAGAUGGGCCCGCGUCCCAUCAGCUAGGUUGGCAAGGUAAAGGCUUACCAAGGCGACGACGGGUAGCCGGUCUGAGAGGAUGUACGGCCACACUGGGACUGAGAUACGGCCCAGACUCCUACGGGAGGCAGCAGUUGGGAAUCUUAGGCAAUGGACGAAAGUCUGACCUAGCGACGCCGCGUGAGGGAAGAAGGCCUUCGGGUUGGUAAACCUCUGUCAUGGGGGAAGAAGUAAGGUGACGGUACCCAACGAGGAAGCCCCUGCUAACUACGUGCCAGCAGCCGCGGUAAACUAUACUCGUA
RNAcentral lists this ribosomal RNA (506 nucleotides) under uncultured bacterium. RNAcentral's name for it is "bacterial SSU rRNA". It matches the Rfam family "Bacterial small subunit ribosomal RNA", at positions 28 to 533 of the family's 1533-position model. The record is from RNAcentral.